This 392-nucleotide ribosomal RNA is filed under the name uncultured bacterium. RNAcentral describes it as "bacterial SSU rRNA". It matches the Rfam family "Bacterial small subunit ribosomal RNA", at positions 28 to 417 of the family's 1533-position model. The record is from RNAcentral.
GACGAACGCUGGCGGCGUGCUUAACACAUGCAAGUCGAGCGGUAAGGCCCUUUCGGGGGUACACGAGCGGCGAACGGGUGAGUAACACGUGGGUGACCUGCCCUCAGCUCUGGGAUAAGCCUGGGAAACUGGGUCUAAUACUGGAUAUGACUCCACGGUGCAUGUCGUGGGGUGGAAAGCCUUGUGCGGCUGAGGAUGGGCCCGCGGCCUAUCAGCUUGUUGGUGGGGUGAUGGCCUACCAAGGCGACGACGGGUAGCCGGCCUGAGAGGGCGACCGGCCACACUGGGACUGAGACACGGCCCAGACUCCGUACGGGAGGCAGCAGGUGGGGAAUCUUGCGCAAGUGGGACGAAAGCCUGACGCAGCGACGCCGCGUGAGGGAUGACGGCCU